GGGGCUAUAGCUUAAUUGGCAGAGCGGUAGAUUUGCAUUCUACGGAUUCCAGUUCGAUUCUGGAUAGCUCCA
Molecule: transfer RNA, 72 nt
Filed under: Candidatus Babelota bacterium
Lineage: Bacteria
Description: Candidatus Dependentiae bacterium tRNA-Ala
Rfam family: tRNA
About the family: Transfer RNA (tRNA) molecules are approximately 80 nucleotides in length. Their secondary structure includes four short double-helical elements and three loops (D, anti-codon, and T loops). Further hydrogen bonds mediate the characteristic L-shaped molecular structure. tRNAs have two regions of fundamental functional importance: the anti-codon, which is responsible for specific mRNA codon recognition, and the 3' end, to which the tRNAs corresponding amino acid is attached (by aminoacyl-tRNA synthetases). tRNAs cope with the degeneracy of the genetic code in two manners: having more than one tRNA (with a specific anti-codon) for a particular amino acid; and 'wobble' base-pairing, i.e. permitting non-standard base-pairing at the 3rd anti-codon position.
Source: RNAcentral